RNAcentral lists this ribosomal RNA (497 nucleotides) under uncultured bacterium. RNAcentral's name for it is "partial 16S ribosomal RNA". It matches the Rfam family "Bacterial small subunit ribosomal RNA", at positions 28 to 507 of the family's 1533-position model. The record is from RNAcentral.
GAUGAACGCUGGCGGCGUGCCUAAUACAUGCAAGUCGAGCGAACGGACGAGAAGCUUGCUUCUCUGAUGUUAGCGGCGGACGGGUGAGUAACACGUGGAUAACCUACCUAUAAGACUGGGAUAACUUCGGGAAACCGGAGCUAAUACCGGAUGAUAUUUUGAACCGCAUGGUUCAAAAGUGAAAGACGGUCUUGCUGUCACUUAUAGAUGGAUCCGCGCUGCAUUAGCUAGUUGGUAAGGUAACGGCUUACCAAGGCAACGAUGCAUAGCCGACCUGAGAGGGUGAUCGGCCACACUGGAACUGAGACACGGUCCAGACUCCUACGGGAGGCAGCAGUAGGGAAUCUUCCGCAAUGGGCGAAAGCCUGACGGAGCAACGCCGCGUGAGUAAUGAAGGUCUUCGGAUCGUAAAACUCUGUUAUUAGGGAGGAACAUAUGUGUAAGUAACUGUGCACAUCUUGACGGUACCUAAUCAGAAAGCCACGGCUAACUACGUG